RNAcentral lists this ribosomal RNA (430 nucleotides) under Parvimonas micra. Its description in RNAcentral is "bacterial SSU rRNA". It matches the Rfam family "Bacterial small subunit ribosomal RNA", at positions 28 to 433 of the family's 1533-position model. Lineage: Bacteria; Bacillati; Bacillota; Tissierellia; Tissierellales; Peptoniphilaceae. The record is from RNAcentral.
GACGAACGCUGGCGGCGUGCUUAACACAUGCAAGUCGAACGUGAUUUUUGUGGAAAUUCUUUCGGGAAUGGAAAUGAAAUGAAAGUGGCGAACGGGUGAGUAACACGUGAGCAACCUACCUUACACAGGGGGAUAGCCGUUGGAAACGACGAUUAAUACCGCAUGAGACCACAGAAUCGCAUGAUAUAGGGGUCAAAGAUUUAUCGGUGUAAGAAGGGCUCGCGUCUGAUUAGCUAGUUGGAAGGGUAAAGGCCUACCAAGGCGACGAUCAGUAGCCGGUCUGAGAGGAUGAACGGCCACAUUGGAACUGAGACACGGUCCAAACUCCUACGGGAGGCAGCAGUGGGGAAUAUUGCACAAUGGGGGGAAACCCCUGAUGCAGCGACGCCGCGUGAAGCGAAAGAAAGGUUUUUCGAAUUCGUAAAGCUUC